RNAcentral lists this ribosomal RNA (229 nucleotides) under uncultured Lactobacillus sp. RNAcentral describes it as "partial 16S ribosomal RNA". It matches the Rfam family "Bacterial small subunit ribosomal RNA", at positions 134 to 355 of the family's 1533-position model. The record is from RNAcentral. Lineage: Bacteria; Bacillati; Bacillota; Bacilli; Lactobacillales; Lactobacillaceae.
UAGUCUGGGAUACCACUUGGAAACAGGUGCUAAUACCGGAUAAGAAAACGGAUCGCAUGAUCAGCUUUUAAAAGGCGGCGUAAGCUGUCGCUAUUGGAUGGCCCCGCGGUGCAUUAGCUAGUUGGUAAGGUAAAGGCUUACCAAGGCGAUGAUGCAUAGCCGAGUUGAGAGACUGAUCGGCCACAUUGGGACUGAGACACGGCCCAAACUCCUACGGGAGGCAGCAGCA